GUCCCGUUAGCUCAGCUGGUAGAGCAUUUGACUUUUAAUCAAAGGGUCACAGAUUCGAAUUCUGUACGGGACACCA
RNAcentral lists this transfer RNA (76 nucleotides) under Bacilli bacterium. Its description in RNAcentral is "tRNA-Lys". It matches the Rfam family "tRNA". From Rfam's summary of the family: Transfer RNA (tRNA) molecules are approximately 80 nucleotides in length. Their secondary structure includes four short double-helical elements and three loops (D, anti-codon, and T loops). The record is from RNAcentral. Lineage: Bacteria; Bacillati; Bacillota; Bacilli. RNAcentral also lists the same sequence under 1 other name.